CAAACCCCGCGUGACUGGCGAUUAGGGUGCACAGCCUUGUGCGCCCGAGGUGGAUCAACCCACCGGGAAGCGCCGGGGUCUUAUUUGCCGUUCGCCUGGGCAGCCGUG
Molecule: non-coding RNA, 108 nt
Filed under: Pandoraea pnomenusa
Lineage: Bacteria; Pseudomonadati; Pseudomonadota; Betaproteobacteria; Burkholderiales; Burkholderiaceae
Description: ZTP sequence
Rfam family: ZMP/ZTP riboswitch aptamer (pfl RNA motif)
About the family: Previously known as pfl RNA. ZMP is also known as AICAR.
Source: Rfam by way of RNAcentral